This 545-nucleotide ribosomal RNA is filed under the name uncultured methanogenic archaeon. RNAcentral describes it as "bacterial SSU rRNA". It matches the Rfam family "Archaeal small subunit ribosomal RNA", at positions 773 to 1322 of the family's 1478-position model. Lineage: Archaea; Methanobacteriati; Methanobacteriota. The record is from RNAcentral.
GUGGGGUCAUCGGGGAACUCAGUGCCGGAGAGAAGUGUAAGUCGACACUGGGGAGUACGUCCGCAAGGAUGAAACUUAAAGGAAUUGGCGGGGGAGCACCGCAACGGGAGGAGCGUGCGGUUUAAUUGGAUUCAACACCGGAAAACUCACCAAGGGCGACUGUUACAUGAAAGCCAGGCUAAUGACCUUGCUUGAUUUUCAGAGACGUGGUGCAUGGCCGUCGUCAGUUCGUACCGUAAGGCGUUCUCUUAAGUGAGAUAACGAACGAGACCCUCACCGAUAAUUGCCAGUCCGAUCCCCGGAUCAGGGCGCACAUUAAUAGGGACCGCUGGAGCGUCAGCUUAGAGGAAGGAGAGGUCAACGGUAGGUCAGUAUGCCCCGAAUAAAAUUGGGCUACACGCGCGCUACAAAGGGCGGGACAAUGGGUUCCGACGCCGAGAGGUGGAGGCAAUCCCGAAACCCGUCCGUAGUUCGGAUUGAGGGUUGUAACUCACCUUCAUGAAGCUGGAUUCCGUAGUAAUCGCGAAUCAACAACUCGCGGUGAA